GGGCCAGGCCUGUGGUGAAAAGUGGACAGGCCAGGCCAACUCACUUUCAAAAGUGGGAGGGCCUUGGCCCCCCCUUUUCUGGUGCUGAUGUAAAUGA
This is a long non-coding RNA of Dermochelys coriacea (leatherback sea turtle), 97 nucleotides long. RefSeq lists it as uncharacterized. The transcript has 3 exons. The record is from RefSeq and is a predicted model, not a curated record. NCBI's taxonomy places the organism in Eukaryota, Metazoa, Chordata, Testudines, Dermochelyidae.